GGGGCUGAUUCUGGAUUCGACGGGAUUUGCGAAAUCCAAGGUGCAUGCCGAGGGGCGGUUGGCCUCGUAAAAAGCCGCAAAAAAAUAGUCGCAAACGACGAAACCUACGCUUUAGCAGCUUAAUAACCUGCUUAGAGCCCUCUCUCCCUAGCCUCCGCUCUUAGGACGGGGAUCAAGAGAGGUCAAACCCAAAAGAGAUCGCGCGGAUGCCCUGCCUGGGGUUGAAGCGUUAAAAGGAAUCAGGCUAGUCUGGUAGUGGCGUGUCCGUCCGCAGGUGCCAGGCGAAUGUAAAGACUGACUAAGCAUGUAGUACCGAGGAUGUAGGAAUUUCGGACGCGGGUUCAACUCCCGCCAGCUCCACCA
RNAcentral lists this transfer-messenger RNA (363 nucleotides) under Salmonella enterica. It matches the Rfam family "transfer-messenger RNA". Rfam says of the family: Bacterial tmRNA, also known as 10Sa RNA or SsrA, is named for its dual tRNA and mRNA-like properties. RNAcentral also lists the same sequence under 1 other name. Lineage: Bacteria; Pseudomonadati; Pseudomonadota; Gammaproteobacteria; Enterobacterales; Enterobacteriaceae. The record is from RNAcentral.